Molecule: ribosomal RNA, 427 nt
Filed under: uncultured bacterium
Lineage: Bacteria
Description: bacterial SSU rRNA
Rfam family: Bacterial small subunit ribosomal RNA
Source: RNAcentral
UCGAGAAUUUUUCACAAUGGGGGAAACCCUGAUGGAGCGACGCCGCGUGGGGGAUGAAGGGCUUCGGCUCGUAAACCCCUGUCAGCCGCGAACAAAGCUUACGACCUAACACGUCGUGAGUUGAUUGUAGUGGCAGAGGAAGGGACGGCUAACUCUGUGCCAGCAGCCGCGGUAAUACAGAGGUCCCGAGCGUUGUUCGGAUUUACUGGGCGUAAAGGGUGCGUAGGUGGUCGGGUAAGUCUCAUGUGAAAUCCCGCAGCUUAACUGCGGAACGGCAUGGGAUACUAUUCGGCUAGAGGAUUGGAGGGGGGACUGGAAUUCCCGGUGUAGCAGUGAAAUGCGUAGAUAUCGGGAGGAACACCAGUGGCGAAGGCGAGUCCCUGGACAAUUCCUGACGCUGAGGCACGAAAGCCAGGGGAGCAAACAG